CGCUCAUCCAGAGGGGCAGAGGGACACGGCCCGAUGAAGCCCCGGCAACCCUCCAGUCGGUUCUCGCACGUUCACGCGAGGUCCCCCGGCUAGGGAAGGUGCCAAAUCCGUCUCACGGCGACACGCGCCAGUGAGAAAGAUGAGGA
Molecule: non-coding RNA, 146 nt
Organism: Streptomyces thermolilacinus SPC6
Lineage: Bacteria; Bacillati; Actinomycetota; Actinomycetes; Kitasatosporales; Streptomycetaceae
Source: Rfam